Long non-coding RNA from Chelonia mydas (Green sea turtle), 971 nucleotides. RefSeq lists it as uncharacterized. NCBI's taxonomy places the organism in Eukaryota, Metazoa, Chordata, Testudines, Cheloniidae. The transcript is spliced from 3 exons. The record is from RefSeq and is a predicted model, not a curated record.
AAAUAAAAAUGAGGCACAGAUGUGUCCUUUUCCAUCUCUUCUUCUCUUCCGCUCUUGAAGCAUUGUUAUUUAAAACACCUAUCCAAUUUGGCUCAGGGGCCUAGUACACCGUGGUGUCAUAGCCCAUUGAAAUCUGAGAAGGACAGGUCUGACCCCAGCCAGCAAACUAAUUAGAACUGCAGCAGCAGCAGAAGCAAGGAGCUGAGCUGAAAUAACAGGCAAGAUGAUGUCACAGCAUCCUUUCAUGCUGAGGAUACCCCUCCGGGCAAAGGAACCCCAGUUAUUAGGAACAACUGGACUUCACUUCUUGAGAGAGAGUGGGAGAAUGACAUGCUGCACUUAACCAAAAAAAAAGAAGAAAGAAAGAAAGACUUUUCUAUCUGAAAUUCAACUGCUUUAAAAAAGCUUUAGAAAUUGGGGUACUUGUAUACAGAAAUGGUACUCCACCCUGAGUGGCAAUAUUAUUUUGCUGUUACCUCUGUUAAACUGAACUGUAAUCUUUAAAUAAUAUAUGUACAUUGGAAAGUGAGUGUGCUUGGGUAACUGUUAAUUUGUAAGAGUUGUAAUCAGUACAAAUUCAGUAAGUGCUUUUUGUAAUAGGACUGAACAUAAUGAAUUGAUUUGGUAUUCAUGCAGAUGUCACAAGUAAUUUCAGAGCUGUUACACUGUAAUUUUGUAGCACUUAAUAGAGAUUAUGGCGGUAGCAAUUUUGUCACUGUAGAUAAGGGGCUCUUUAGUGUUUCCUUCAUAAAUUUUCAGCUUCUGCUUUUCAGGUGUUUAUGAUUUAGGCCAAAGGUGAAAUCCCCUGGCCUAAUAAAACCAGGGCAUAAUUGACCAAGCCCAGAAACAGAGAUGGGCCAAGCAGCAAAAUUCAGAGCGGAUUUUCAACACCACAAAGUUUGGGAAGAGAGUUCAGAUCCGGAGCUUUGGUUCAACCCAUUAUACAAUCAAAUAUACAGAAUCACAUUGAG